Molecule: ribosomal RNA, 752 nt
Filed under: uncultured fungus
Lineage: Eukaryota; Fungi
Description: eukaryotic LSU rRNA
Rfam family: 5.8S ribosomal RNA (bases 188-342)
Source: RNAcentral
AACGGGCUGUUGCUGGUCCUCGAUGGGGACAUGUGCACGCUCUGUUUACACAUCCACUCACACCUGUGCACCCUCUGUAGUUUUACGGUCUGGGGGACCCUGUCUUCCUUCUGUAGUUCUACGUCUUUACACACACACUGUAAUAAAGUCUUAUGGAAUGUAUGCCGCGUCUAACGCAACACAAUACAACUUUCAGCAACGGAUCUCUUGGCUCUCGCAUCGAUGAAGAACGCAGCGAAAUGCGAUAAGUAAUGUGAAUUGCAGAAUUCAGUGAAUCAUCGAAUCUUUGAACGCACCUUGCGCCCCUUGGAUAUUCCGAGGGGCAUGCCUGUUUGAGUAUCAUGAACACCUCAACUCUCAUGGUUUGCCGUGACGAGCUUGGACCUUGGGGGUUUUGCUGGCCUGUGGUCGGCUCCUCUCAAAUGAAUCAGCCUCCCAGUGUUUGGUGGCAUCACGAGUGUGAUAACUAUCUACUCUCGCGGUUGCCCACCAGGUAACCUUUGGUGACAAAGGUUCGCUGGAGCUCACAGAUGUCUCUCCUUAGCGAGGACAGCUUUUUAACGUUCGAUCUCAAAUCAGGUAGGACUACCCGCUGAACUUAAGCAUAUCAAUAAGCGGAGGAAAAGAAACUAACAAGGAUUCCCCUAGUAACUGCGAGUGAAGCGGGAAGAGCUCAAAUUUAAAAUCUGGCGUGCCUCUGGUCGUCCGAGUUGUAGUCUAGAGAAGUGUUUUCCGUGCUGGACCGUGUACAA